Long non-coding RNA from Asterias rubens (European starfish), 1205 nucleotides. RefSeq lists it as uncharacterized. NCBI's taxonomy places the organism in Eukaryota, Metazoa, Echinodermata, Asteroidea, Forcipulatida, Asteriidae. The transcript has 4 exons. The record is from RefSeq and is a predicted model, not a curated record.
CGUCUACCAAAAGUGCAAAAAUGUCGUCUGCUCACAUCGUCUUCAAAAUCAAAUGUUUUCAGCACAAAACAUUUCAUAUGUGUUAGUUUCGGUUUUGGCAUUGAACCAUUGGACUCAUCUGUGGAAUGAAUCCUCAUCAACCAUUAACCAUCCAAGGAUACACAUGGAUGAAGAAUCAUCAGUUUGGAUCACGCCCUACCUGAACAAAUGUGAUGCAAGCCUUGGUACAAGAGAUGUGCCAGCUUUAAUUGAAGAGAGCCCUUGAGAUGCAGCAUCAUCAUGAAUUCAAAUCAUCUUCUCACUGCCUCAUCAAGCUACUCCAGUUCAACUUGUUUGUUUACAAAACCAAGAUGAGAAGAACACUCAAGAUGAUGACAAGCCUUGGUAUGAAAGAUGCGCCAGCUUGACUGACGAGAGCCUGUGAGAUGCUGCCUCAUCAUGAUCUCAAAUACGUCAUCUUCUCAGCGUCUCAAGCUAAUUCAGUUCAACUUCUUCGUGAUUCAUUCAAUACUAAGAUGUUAAGGUACGUCUCACGUAGGGAGUUUUAUUUAUUGUAAAAAGGUCUGUUUACCUGGACACUUAAAAAACCACUCAGACAAUCAGUCUUUACUGUUUACAACUGAAACAAAGUUGCUAUUUAUUCCAAAAGCUAUGAACUUAAUUCAAAGCCAAAGUGUACUUCGUAAACAGAUCUUUACACGUACAGCCCUAUGUGGCUGUUUUUGUUAUGAAGUGAAAACUUUAUGCUGAAUAUUGUUGUGUACAGUUUGUAGCUCCUUUGAAUCAUCAGGCCUGAUACUUUGCAGAGACAAGUAACGCAGCAAUUGCCUCCGUGCACACGGUCUUGGUCAUUGCCUUGGUGCCGAUUGAGUACUAAUUCAAAUUUCCCUCACUGACUCCCGCAUUUUAAUGAGAAAAGCUGCCUUGCCUUUAUAAGAAUGAAGCAUCAGGCCUGAAGAAUGGGUAAUGAAAUGCAGAAAUAUAGGGCUACUAGCUUCGACUAACAUUUUUUAGUGAAUACCAAAGCAGUGUAGUGAACAAUCAUGCAACAUAGGCUAACAUGUACACAGUUUUAGAACAACUUUACACGGAUGUCAGAGUUUGAAACAUGUUCUUAAUACCUAGUUUGAUAUUUAUUUGUGGUAAAUUUGAUGUAUUUGUAUCACACGUGAUUAUAUUUAUCUGCAAAACAUUGUACGAGCCGA